CAUCCCGCACGCGGCGUCGCUCGGUCAGACUUUCGUCCAUUGCCGAAGAUUCUCGACUGCAGCCACCCGUAGGUGUCUGGCAGUGUCUCAGUCCCAGUGAGCCGGGCCAUGCUCUCACACCCGGUAACCAUCGCAGCCUUGGUGAGCCAUUACCUCACCAACAAGCUAAUAGUACGCGGUCCGAUCCAAGGGCGGAAUCACACCUUUGAUCCUUAGAUAUCAUCCAGUAUUACCGCCAGUUUCCCAACGCUAUCCUGGACCCUUGGGCACGUAACCACGCGUUACUCUCCCUUUCGCCGCUGUCCGUGUUCAAUGCAAGCAAAAAACACUUCUCGCACGACUUGCAUGCCUAAUCCACGCCGCCAACGUUCAUUCUGAGCCAGGAUCAAACUCUAAGGGC
This 400-nucleotide ribosomal RNA is filed under the name uncultured Planctomycetota bacterium. RNAcentral's name for it is "uncultured planctomycete partial 16S ribosomal RNA". Lineage: Bacteria; Pseudomonadati; Planctomycetota. The record is from RNAcentral.